This 496-nucleotide ribosomal RNA is filed under the name uncultured bacterium. RNAcentral's name for it is "partial 16S ribosomal RNA". It matches the Rfam family "Bacterial small subunit ribosomal RNA", at positions 29 to 507 of the family's 1533-position model. The record is from RNAcentral.
AUGAACGCUUGCGGCGUGCCUCAUACAUGCCAGUCGAGCGCACAGACGAGGAGCUUGCUCCUCUGACGUUAGCGGCGGACGGGUGAGUAACACGUGGAUAACCUACCUAUAAGACUGGGAUAACUUCGGGAAACCGGAGCUAAUACCGGAUAAUAUAUUGAACCGCAUGGUUCAAUAGUGAAAGACGGUUUUGCUGUCACUUAUAGAUGGAUCCGCGCCGCAUUAGCUAGUUGGUAAGGUAACGGCUUACCAAGGCAACGAUGCGUAGCCGACCUGAGAGGGUGAUCGGCCACACUGGAACUGAGACACGGUCCAGACUCCUACGGGAGGCAGCAGUAGGGAAUCUUCCGCAAUGGGCGAAAGCCUGACGGAGCAACGCCGCGUGAGUGAUGAAGGUCUUCGGAUCGUAAAACUCUGUUAUUAGGGAAGAACAAAUGUGUAAGUAACUAUGCACGUCUUGACGGUACCUAAUCAGAAAGCCACGGCUAACUACGUG